Molecule: transfer RNA, 68 nt
Filed under: Marmota monax (woodchuck)
Lineage: Eukaryota; Metazoa; Chordata; Mammalia; Rodentia; Sciuridae
Description: tRNA.Ala
Source: RNAcentral
GUUGUCGCUCAGUGGUAGAUCGCUUGCCUAGCAUGUGUGAGGCACUGGGUUCAAUCCUCAGCACCACA